AUAAGCGCCGGUAAGGUGAUAUGAACCGUUAUAACCGGCGAUACCCGAAUGGGGAAACCCAGUGUGAUUCGUCACACUAUCAUUAACUGAAUCCAUAGGUUAAUGAGGCGAACCGGGGGAACUGAAACAUCUAAGUACCCCGAGGAAAAGAAAUCAACCGAGAUUCCCCCAGUAGCGGCGAGCGAACGGGGAGGAGCCCAGAGCCUGAAUCAGCAUGUGUGUUAGUGGAAGCGUCUGGAAAGGCGCGCGAUACAGGGUGACAGCCCCGUACACAAAAGCGCAUGUGCUGUGAGCUCGAUGAGUAGGGCGGGACACGUGGUAUCCUGUCUGAAUAUGGGGGGACCAUCCUCCAAGGCUAAAUACUCCUGACUGACCGAUAGUGAACCAGUACCGUGAGGGAAAGGCGAAAAGAACCCCGGCGAGGGGAGUGAAAAAGAACCUGAAACCGUGUACGUACAAGCAGUGGGAGCACCCUUUGGGUGUGACUGCGUACCUUUUGUAUAAUGGGUCAGCG
Molecule: ribosomal RNA, 514 nt
Filed under: Salmonella enterica subsp. enterica serovar Enteritidis
Lineage: Bacteria; Pseudomonadati; Pseudomonadota; Gammaproteobacteria; Enterobacterales; Enterobacteriaceae
Description: partial 23S ribosomal RNA
Rfam family: Bacterial large subunit ribosomal RNA
Source: RNAcentral